Molecule: long non-coding RNA, 5670 nt
Organism: Macaca fascicularis (crab-eating macaque)
Lineage: Eukaryota; Metazoa; Chordata; Mammalia; Primates; Cercopithecidae
Source: Ensembl
UAAAUUUUAUUCUUUAUUUAAAAUACAGAAAUACUUUUUACAGCAUGAACAGAAAGUACUACAUUGUGUUGAAAUCUUAAGAUUUAGAAAUCUCACUGAAUCAUACCCAGGCCCAUGAUGCAUUGUACUAGAAAAAAAUACUGUAUCAAAAAUGAAAACAAACAAACAAAAACCACCCCAAACUAUUAAAAUCAUUAAGGCCAGUAGUGGUUGUUUAAUGAAAUUGUACAUACCUGACUGUGGUGUACAUACCAAUCACUGUUUAAGAGAAUACAUUAAAAACAGAAAAAUUGACCUCUAAAUAAUGAACUAAUUGCCCCCCUGCAAAAGUUACAAACAAUAACAGGCUUUGAAAGAUUUAAAGCACAUUUUGAUGGCCAAUUUAUGAAAACACUGUGUAUGAUAAAAUGAGUACAUCCAACUCACUCCUGAGUAACACGCUAUACUUACAGCCUGCUUAUGACAAAUGAGAGAUCGUAAAUAUAUGCAGUAAGAAUACAUGUGUGUUCAUACUCAGAUAAUGUAUAUGUAUGCACAGUAUGUGAUGAAAUUAAACUACAGGAUAAAUAACUUUAAUAAACUCUACAUUUUGAGGCACAUGGGGAAUAAAAUUCAUGUUGUUUCUAAGUUAUAGACACAGCAUCUUUUUUUUUCCCUAUCUCGGUACCUUAGUGUAAUGCCGAUUUGCAUUUAACCUAGUUAUCUUAUGUUUGCAUGCUUUGCAAACUGAAUUACAGGACCAAAUUGCCUAUUACAAUUUUCCAUUAUGUAACACAAUUACAUAGGAACACUUUGAGGUGAGAGGAUUGUCCCAAAAUUAGGAAACACUGAUUUCAGCAUGCUUGCAAAGAGCAAAGAUUAAGGAGAGGCCCUUUCCCCAGGUAACAGGGUUUACUGCUGUCUCUCUCCAAUGUAAACGCCACUCACCAUUACAAUGAGCUAUAUUCACUAAUGUCUAGUCUGCAAAAUUAGAUCCACUGGUUUUGUUUUGUUUUUAAAGAAGUUAGGACCUAAAACGACACCAUUUCCUAAGCUGAAAGCUUCUCUCUCCCCGAGCACUUCCAAGUAAAACAUGGAGUUGAACUAAUGUUCCAAGAUUCCAUUACGUUCAUAAGAAAUGAAAGCACAAUGAAUUUUCAUACAAUUAGAAUAUCUGCAGUACAUACGCCGAGUCCUUCUUGCACAUGUGCCUCAGCACAAGCAAAUGACGUGCAAACUUUCACUGAUGACCUUUCUCUUUAGUUUGCAAACCCAAUCAUAGAAACACACAUGAACAUGUGCACACACCCCCUCUGAAAAUCCUUAAUUAGAAGGGAGGAAAGACUGUCUCGGUAGAGAAGAGGGAAGGUAGUCAACCCUGUUUCUACCUUACCGGGAUGAGGAGAUGACCUGUUUGCACCGUUGGUUUCUGGUUGUUUCAUAGUGUGCAAAUAAAGUAAGACGUUUUACCAGGGAAAACAUGCAGCUGCCGCUCUCCCAGAUGGGGCGAGAUCGGGAAGUCUCCCAAGUGGGUAUAUGGGGUAGAGAAGUAGCAUAAAGAGGUGGAAACAUGAGAUUAACUAAGGCUGAGUUGAAAGAAAGAUUCUGAAAAUAAACCUGUCAACUUACAAAACAAAAGACAUAACAUUUCAAUCAUCAUGAUUCUACCUCACGAGCUUGGGAACACGGAUUUCACUAACUCAUGCGCCCUCAUUGGUUAGUGGGAGUCUUGUUGGAUAAUGACAGCCUAGUGUAGCAAGUAAAACACACCUUUUGGCCCCAUUAAGGGAGAAGCUUCAUGAUGUUACAGUCAUACUUCAGUAACAAAAAGUUUUCACUGUUAGUGAAAAAAAAUAGCAGCAAGACAAUUAUGAUAAAAUGAUUUUAUUCAAUCAGUUUAUUUCAUUUUCUUGCAUGUGAAUAGAAUGAAAAGCAAAUUUAUCCACAAAUGUAUUUGAAAUAUGAAAUGUUUAUGUGAAUGAAAUUACUUCUAAGUAUAUACAGUAGAGAAAUUAUCUAAUCAACAGAUAUCUAUAACAUGGAAAUAUUUUCUCUGUAAAGCAAAUGAUAUUUCAUAUUUUCUUGAGGAUAAAAUGAGAGGAGCUCUUUUUUUAAAUCCCCAAGUGAUCAAAGAUAUAGCUAGAAGAUGACAGAAAAUUAAAUAAUAUGGCUUAGAACACAAUGGAUAAUAAAAUAAAUCAAAGUCCCUCAAACUUUCUCACACUUAGACAGAAAUACUUUCAGUUCCUGAGGAGGAAACACGUUUGACUUCUAGAAAGACCCCGAGGUGCGCAAUUGUGCUGGAGAAAGGCCAGGAAUGGAAACUUUUUUUUUCCCAGAGCUAUGCUGCCUUUCUCCUUCCUCUAAACCACGUUUUCUUUUGGGAAAUAUGUCAUCAUCUUUCCCUACUCAGACACAAGUCACUUAAUAUUGCAUAUGUCUCAGUAGUCUUGUAAACGUCCAAAAACAAUACCACACCCCAGAAAUGCUUCUGAUGUCGUCACUGUCCUUCGUUUUUCAUGCUGGUUGGACCCUCCUCACUUACACAUGAGACUCUGGCCUGGCUUUGGUCAUGAGGCUGUACAGUCAGUGCUAACUGGGUCUGGACAAUGCUGUGUUCUGUAAAGAACUUUGGCAUUAUCUGAAUUGCUGCUGGAUGUCAGAGUGACUCCGUGCAGGUUGCAGGAUGGCGGGAGAAGCAGCUUGUGGUUCUCAAGAGGUACCUCGAAUUGGCACCAGGUCACUUAAGCUUCAGGGCUGAAUGAAGAGGGACAGCUAGUGAGAAGGGCAUUGUGCUUCAUGAAGAUUCAAGAGGCACCUCAGUGGGACAUCAGGGUGAGUCACAGAAUGAAACAUUCAGAAGGGUGGAGACUCUCAUUCCCAACCUCAGGCAUUGAGCUGAGAGGGUUAGACCUUGAGAAAUAGAACAAGAGGAGAUUGGGCAGGAAGCGGGGCAGAGUCAAGAAAUACUGUGGGUGGGUGACAACUGGACAGAGAUCAGAACCACUGGGCUAGGGAGAACAGAGUUGGCUUACUCUUAUUUCUUUCUCUACCCCGUCUCUAUCCCCAAAGGCAUUUGAGCUAGUGGAAUGGAGAAAGACAAAAAAGAAAACAAACCAACAAAAAAACACGGAGGCAGCAAGAAAUAAUAGAACGAAAAGUAAAAAACGAGUGGGAAAGAAUGGCCAAGUGGUGCUUACAUGGCCUUGAGAGAAGAGGAUCAAAUAAUAUCUAUAUAAGGUUGCAAAGGAGGAGAGGCAGAAACCAGCAGACAUGAAAAAGAAGAGAGAGGAGUCAACAGCCUAUAACUACUAUGGCAGCACAGCCCCACUGGCCUUGGCCAAAGUAACUGAGCUGGAAAUGCUUUUAAAGGUCAUCUGGAUGACUCCCCUCCUUUUCCAGAUGAGGAGAUGGAGGUACGGGGGGAGGUGACUUGGAGAGCUUGUUUCUUGCACACUGUACCAUGCUCUGCCCCCCAAAGAGCAAUGUGGAACCCACAGGGCAGAAGGUUCUGACCUGGAGGGGAGCUGUCCAGGUGUCCCCCAAGAUCUCUUUUUCCCAACUGUAGGAUUCUAGGGUUCUACGUGUGAAGGUGGUCUCUGUAUGUUUGCAAACACUCACAAUAUCCUCAGCUUACCAUGCCUAAGGAUAUAGCAGUAACAAUACUUUAAAAUGAAUAUGUUGAAUGUUAUACAUCCAAAUACUGUUGUCCUUCAAAAUAGUCCAUACAUUGCUGCUCCUUAUUUUAACACCUGCCUAAUAUAUUUAAGUUAACCAGUGAAUUGUGGCUGUUAUUGUUCAAACUGUUUGUACCAAGUAAGAAAGCACACAAGGAAAAGACAAACGAAUGUGUGUGAAAACACAUGAUUUGAAACCUGAAACUAAUUACCCAUGUCAUGCACCAGGCAUGAGCCCAGUGGCUUUGGCUUUCUCCAAAAAGAAAAAAAAAAUCCACCCUCAAGGGAUGAUGAUGGGUUUCCAACAACACUUUAAAAAGAAUGUAGUUGAGGAUGCUACAUUUAUGGUAGAGGUAGCCUUCGGUCGUACAUCAUUGCUGUAAAGCCACACCUAGUGAGGCGCCAUUAUUUCGUAAUGAGCUGUUUGGAGAAGCAAGGCUUCGGGUGUAUUCCAAAGUUGGAGCCAACAGAAGAGGUUGAUGUUGGCCUGUGCAAGCACCUAGUGCAUGGAACUGACUCUAAGGCUCAGACGAUGUGGUCAAGCCCCAGAGCAGGGUAGGGUGGGAAGACAGCUGAGGUAUAGGUGGUCUGUGUGGUAUAUGUAGACCCUUCAAAUGGAAAGAUGCUGCUGGCCCCACACUGUCUGGCAUCACUGUUUAAUCACCCGUGGCUCUACCUGCCGUCUCUUCCUCUGCAGGAAAUCGAGCCCAAUGCUAAGCAUGGGGAGAACCUCCGGGCUCCUUAUGUAGGAUUUUAAGAGUGCAGAUCUGGGGCCUGUCUUGUGAAAGCACAGUGAAGAAAAGCAAAUCUUCCUCUAAAAGUGUGCUUUUGCCCAGAACUGCUUCUAAGUUGGGGGCAUUUCCUGAAGCCUGGGAGAGUCACAGCGAGUGUUGUCUCCAGGCGGGCAUCUUGGUGAGGUCCACGUGUGAUAACACCACCGAAACCACAAAGGAAUUUACCAUGGGAAGUGUCCCAGCAGUUGCUUAUUAGCAUUAGAACCAUUACACCAAGUCUAUUGUUAGCAGACUUGUUUUCAUUAUCCUUAUCUGGCGGCAGUAAAUAACAGCGAUUCUUUUUCAAGCAAAUGCUAGAUUUCCAAAGAUCCAGCUUCCAAUCGUCUGUGCAGGGAUCAUCUUGGGUUAGGAUAAGCGUCGGAGUGGAUAACACCCCAGAAGCUGAGGUGCCCAGCGCUCUUCAUGCAGGAGCAGGGCGGGACACACAGGAGCUGCCUGCAGGUGGAGGGGGUGAUGCUGCUGGGCUUGAUAUCACAGAAUGGAAACAAGAAGGUUUGUUCCCCUGCAUGUCUGACCGUCUGCUGGACCAUCCCCAGUGUUCUCAGUGUGGCCCUCUCAUGCCACAGGGGAGCGAUGGGGCACAUGGCAAGGCAACAGGAGAGCCCAGCAGGUGCUCAGUUCUUAGAAUGUUUGUGACCAAAAAAAAAAAAAAAAAAUCAGGCCCAUGGACAGGUUUGCACCCCUCUCCUUAAAAAAAGAUUGCGGUUUUUAAAAAAAUCACCUACUCUUUCACAAUUCCAUGUCUUGUUAUCUGAGGUUUUUAAAAAAAGUGAGUCCAAUCCCCUUCCCCUCUGUCCCCAGUGGAGAAGAGCUGAGAAGUGACCCCUUCAGAGCAGAGGUCAGACCGUGCCUGCUGACCGCUUACACAUAUGAAAACCUGGCUGUUUCUUUAGAACAAGAGCAGACUAUUUCCAUCUUUCGAGACCUUCUGACAAUGACUAAAUUUCAGUCCCUGGUCACCUAUGGACAUCUCCAAUUAUCUUCAGAGAUUUGACAACAUUCUCCUAAAACCAUCUCAAAAAUAAUUUUAAAAGAAUUUUAAUAAAAAAAAUAAGAACUAUUCCAUACAGCACAUAGAUACAAAAAUAGGUUAUUGCAGCAUGAAGGGUUGGGGCUGUUAGAAUCGCUGCUUUCAUUGUUUUCCUAAGAAACUUAUGGUGUAGGCCUCCCUCUGUCACUGGUUUCUUUCUCCAGUAAACCAGCCCUAGUCCCAUAUUCCU